Long non-coding RNA from Mya arenaria, 443 nucleotides. RefSeq lists it as uncharacterized. Lineage: Eukaryota; Metazoa; Mollusca; Bivalvia; Myida; Myidae. The record is from RefSeq and is a predicted model, not a curated record. The transcript is spliced from 3 exons.
CGGAGGUAGUGUGAUACCGUAACGUACGGAAAUAAUCAAGAUGAAUACAAAGACGUGUUUUUUUGUUUUGGUAAUAUGCGGCCUCUUGGCUCUUCAGGUUUCCAACGUUGAAGGUAUCUGCUACACAUACGUGUGCCGCCGGCGCUGCAUCUACAGUGCACCACGUUACGAGGAGUACGCCUUCCGCUACCUGUGGACAAAGGCGUGCGGACGCGAGGCUGUGCAGCGCUACGGCAUGAAGGCCUGCUGCGUCACCUGGGGGCGCUAUUAGCCUUUCAAGAGAAACAACUGGUGUCGUUGCAUUGUAGAUGCCAGAGGUCAAGGUCAAGGUUUCAUGUCACUUUCAUCACGAAGCACAUACCAUACACGAGAGGCGAUACUUGUAUUUAUGUAUGUGUGGUUAUUAAUGGUUUUCAUGUAGUUUUGUGAGUUUUUGUGGUAAA